Molecule: long non-coding RNA, 820 nt
Organism: Venturia canescens
Lineage: Eukaryota; Metazoa; Arthropoda; Insecta; Hymenoptera; Ichneumonidae
Exons: 3
Source: RefSeq, a predicted model, not a curated record
AUUGGGAUUCCUGCGUGCCAGCGUCGGCAACUUUUCAAUUGAUAUAUACAACUCAUUCGUAUAUCUGUAUAAAUUGCAUAUACGAUGACACGAACCAGCGAAGAAUUGCGACAGUUGUAUAUUGCAUUCUACUCGCUUCCUCACCUCGCCAAAUACCCGCCCCAAGCUAAGACUAACUCAACGUUUGAACGAGCGAGUUCCUCUUUUUCAAACAUCUCUCGCACCGGAUAGGCUGGUAUUACAUGGUACACAUGCAAUAUACAUUUGUGUGUGUUACUCGUUUGAUAUGUAUAUAUACCCGAGGCACGAGAGCGAACGCAGUCGCGCGCGCUUCACCGAGUUACGUUCCGCGAUCGACUUUUAUGCGUUCAGCCGCGGGGUGCACACAUCGCGCGUUUCGACGCUCAGCAGGUUAUGAAUAUAAACUGCUCACACAGGUGUCUACAUGUAUCUGCAUUUAAUUGACUGGACGUGCCUCUCCGGCUCUCCGCGUAUUGAGUGCGCCUCGAGCCAUGGCGGGAGACUCGACUGUACCAGCGCGGUGCUCUCGAGCCUUCUGGUGGAAACGAUUUUUUGUGGAAUCAACUACAAUCUCGGGCAAAUUCAUGGGGCAGAUUUCAGCCAGUCACUCAAUUGCUCUCAUUCCAGGAACUUGCGUUCGUCUCGCAUUUCAACUCAAGUUCAAGAUAUUUGGUGCUUGAAAUAGUUCAGAAAAUACUUCGUUGACCCUUGUUCAGUUUGGAGUAAUCGUUAUAGAUUGGAAGCUUCUGUUUGUUCAACGAAGCUCAAUAAAUUGAUGGAAUAAAAGAGUGGAAAAGCA